GAUGAACGCUGGCGGCGUGCUUAAUACAUGCAAGUCGAACGAAGCACCUUGGACAGAAUCCUUCGGGAGGAAGACCAUUGUGACUGAGUGGCGGACGGGUGAGUAACGCGUGGGUAACCUGCCUUGUACAGGGGGAUAACAGUUGGAAACGACUGCUAAUACCGCAUAAGCGCACAGUACCGCAUGGUACGGUGUGAAAAACUCCGGUGGUACAAGAUGGACCCGCGUCUGAUUAGCUUGUUGGUGAGGUAACGGCCCACCAAGGCGACGAUCAGUAGCCGACUUGAGAGAGUGAUCGGCCACAUUGGGACUGAGACACGGCCCAAACUCCUACGGGAGGCAGCAGUAGGGAAUAUUGCACAAUGGGGGAAACCCUGAUGCAGCGACGCCGCGUGAAGGAAGAAGUAUUUCGGUAUGUAAACUUCUAUCAGCAAGGAAGAAAAUGACG
This 448-nucleotide ribosomal RNA is filed under the name uncultured bacterium. RNAcentral's name for it is "bacterial SSU rRNA". It matches the Rfam family "Bacterial small subunit ribosomal RNA", at positions 28 to 456 of the family's 1533-position model. The record is from RNAcentral.